This 513-nucleotide ribosomal RNA is filed under the name uncultured bacterium. Its description in RNAcentral is "partial 16S ribosomal RNA". It matches the Rfam family "Bacterial small subunit ribosomal RNA", at positions 30 to 523 of the family's 1533-position model. The record is from RNAcentral.
AUUGAACGCUGGCGGCAUGCCUAACACAUGCAAGUCGAACGGCAGCACAGUAAAGAUUUCGGUCUUUAUGGGUGGCGAGUGGCGGACGGGUGAGUAAUGCGUAGGAAUCUGUCCUGGAGAGUGGGAUAACCCGAGGAAACUCGGGCUAAUACUGCAUGAUAUCGAGAGAUCAAAGGCAGGGGCCCCUUCGGGGCCUUGCGCUCUAGGAUGAGCCUACGUCGGAUUAGCUAGUUGGUGGGGUAAAGGCCUACCAAGGCGACGAUCCGUAGCUGGUCUGAGAGGAUGACCAGCCACACUGGGACUGAGACACGGCCCAGACGCCUACGGGAGGCAGCAGUGGGGAAUCUUGGACAAUGGGGGAAACCCUGAUCCAGCGAUGCCGCGUGUGUGAAGAAGGCCUUCGGGUUGUAAAGCACUUUAGUUGGGGAAGAAAAGUAAUGAGUGAAUAACUGAUUGCUCUGACGGUACCCAAAGAAUAAGCACCGGCUAACUCUGUGCCAGCCGCCGCGGUAA